Molecule: small RNA, 111 nt
Filed under: Salmonella enterica
Lineage: Bacteria; Pseudomonadati; Pseudomonadota; Gammaproteobacteria; Enterobacterales; Enterobacteriaceae
Description: partial RtT sRNA
Rfam family: RtT RNA
About the family: This family represents a bacterial cis-regulatory element known as RtT RNA. The exact function of RtT is unknown although it is thought that it may be involved in changing the cellular response in relation to amino acid starvation.
Source: RNAcentral
AUAUCUCUCCGUACGGGAAGGAUGAGAAGCUUCGACUAAGGUUCGAUUCGAGCGAAAGCGAGAAAGCGUUGCCGCAGGCAACGACCCGAAGGGCGAAGCGCGCAGCGCUGA